RNAcentral lists this long non-coding RNA (1307 nucleotides) under Coturnix japonica (Japanese quail). RNAcentral's name for it is "lncRNA (ENSCJPG00005004458.1)". The record is from RNAcentral. Lineage: Eukaryota; Metazoa; Chordata; Aves; Galliformes; Phasianidae.
CAUUUUCUGCAAGAAAGUUCAAUGUGUGAAGAUUUUUGUUUUUGUUUUUGUUUUCUUUCCAGCGACAAACAAAAACUACAAAAUGUCAGAACUGCUUUGCAGAACAUUGAGAAUCCAUUUCAGUCUGCUCUUCCCUGCUGCUGCUCCACCUUUAUGGAGAUCUUGGCUCCGGUGCUUUCUUUCCCUAUGCAAGGGAUCUCAGAGAGCACUGGCAGUUUCCAUCUUCUCUUCUUCCACCCAACGGACACCACAGUGCUGUUUGGACUGGAGUGGAGAGGUGUAGACUGGAUUUCAUCCUGAUGUACAGGUUUAUUGAUAUCAUACCAGAAUGCUGGAAAGCACAAGAGAAGGAUUUCCUGUAUACAAUCUCUGUUCAAACAAGGAUAAAGUGUAGCCAAAGAAGGAAAGACAAACAGAAGAUUUAAAGUGUUGCUAGAGAAGGAAAGAACUAGAUGAGAAACCACAACUGGAUGUAAUUAAGUGGUAAAACUGGAAAAUGGACAACUACCAACACAUAUGCUCUGCACCAAGAAAACAUGCGUACAUACAACCUGACUUUGCUGAGCAUGCUGUGCUUUAACAAAGUGAGUUUAUAUGACACAGCAUGAAGAGAUCUGUGAGUUUGAGUAGAUACCCUAUACAUCUCAGCUGAGUGCUGUCCCACAAGUAUUUGGAGACUGUGCUGAGUCUCUUGUACUUCCUUGGUAUCUGAACUAGCCUGGACAUCUCUAUUCUAAAGUGCUGUGUAAUGCACAACAUGCACUUUCAGUAUCUCUCAGUUCCCAGUUUCUUUGUUGGAAUUCAAAUCUGCUUAAUAAUUUGCCAGUUCAAGUACUGACCACCCAGCCAAUGCUGAUUUAGACAAAGUCACUACUAAAGCUCCCACUAGGCCUAGGCAAUGUCACAUCUGCUGCUUGAAACAGACACAUUUUUAAACUGUGGGCAAUACAAAGCCCUUGGUUUAAUUUCAGCUGAUAAAGGAAAGAAAGUAUGCUAUCCUCCAUGACAAAUUCAAAGACAGCUUUAAAAACGUUAGCCACACAGAAGUAUUUGUGUUAUAUAAAAUGUUCUUCAUGAAACAGUGGGAGAUCUGUCUGAAAUUAGCAAGAAUUACAAAACCUCCCACUCUGAAGGUGAAGGGAGAAGCAAGGUUAUAAUUACAUAAACGACUAUGGGGGAAACAGUUGUUCUGCAUAAAGAGUAGGAUCCAAGCAGCAUUGAAUUCCACUUGGAGACAGCUUUCCUCAAGUUGGUGAUUUUUCAUUUUUUCCCCCUUGAUUUUGUGUCCUAAAGACUUGGUCUCUUCC